Molecule: ribosomal RNA, 468 nt
Filed under: uncultured bacterium
Lineage: Bacteria
Description: partial 16S ribosomal RNA
Rfam family: Bacterial small subunit ribosomal RNA
Source: RNAcentral
GACGAACGCUGGCGGCGUGCUUAACACAUGCAAGUCGAACGGAAAGGCCCUGCUUUUGUGGGGUGCUCGAGUGGCGAACGGGUGAGUAACACGUGAGUAACCUGCCCUUGACUUUGGGAUAACUUCAGGAAACUGGGGCUAAUACCGGAUAGGAGCUCCUGCUGCAUGGUGGGGGUUGGAAAGUUUCGGCGGUUGGGGAUGGACUCGCGGCUUAUCAGCUUGUUGGUGGGGUAGUGGCUUACCAAGGCUUUGACGGGUAGCCGGCCUGAGAGGGUGACCGGCCACAUUGGGACUGAGAUACGGACCAGACUCCUACGGGAGGCAGCAGUGGGGAAUAUUGCACAAUGGGCGGAAGCCUGAUGCAGCAACGCCGCGUGCGGGAUGACGGCCUUCGGGUUGUAAACCGCUUUCGCCUGUGCCGAAGCGUGAGUGACGGUAAUGGGUAAAGAAGCACCGGCUAACUACGUG